UACGAGGGGGGCAAGCGUUGUUCGGAAUUAUUGGGCGUAAAGGGUGCGUAGGCGGUCUGUUAAGUCAUCUGUGAAAUCUAUGGGCUCAACCCAUAGUCUGCAGGCGAAACUGUCGGGCUUGAGUAUGGGAGAGGUGAGUGGAAUUUCCGGUGUAGCGGUGAAAUGCGUAGAUAUCGGAAGGAACACCUAUGGCGAAAGCGGCUCUCUGGAACGGUACUGACGCUGAGACGCGAAAGCGUGGGGAGCGAACAGG
This 253-nucleotide ribosomal RNA is filed under the name uncultured bacterium. Its description in RNAcentral is "partial 16S ribosomal RNA". It matches the Rfam family "Bacterial small subunit ribosomal RNA", at positions 524 to 776 of the family's 1533-position model. The record is from RNAcentral.